Molecule: long non-coding RNA, 2469 nt
Filed under: Pongo abelii (Sumatran orangutan)
Lineage: Eukaryota; Metazoa; Chordata; Mammalia; Primates; Hominidae
Description: lincRNA
Source: RNAcentral
AGUGGAUUUCAGGAUUCCUCUAAGAAGCUUUGGAAUGCCAGAAGAUAACACAAGUGAGAAGAAAAAAUAAAACAAGAGGAAGGAUAUACUUCCCAUAAGGGGACAAAGUACAGCCGCAGCGUCCUCCGCUUGGGCCAUGGAACAGCUGCAGGUUUUGCCCUGAUUACCCUGGUGGUAAAGUCUGAUUGGUUAUGAUUCCCGGUGUCCAAAAGAUAAACACGGGCUGUGCAGUGGAGCCACACGCAUGCCUGUGCACGGCCACGCCAGGUCAGAAACCCAGCCCCUCUGCUUGGGAGGCACGCAGGGCUCCGGCUGAAGCCUGAAGCUUGGGAUCCUCAGAGCACAGACGUCCUAGGGCUGUGUGAAGUUAGUGAGAUGAGGUGUAUGGAGAGAGCUCGGAGAGGAGAGGGAGUCUCGAUUGCUGUCGCCGUGGCUCAGAGAUGCCUGCAAGAGGGUUGCACGUGGCAGAAACUUAAUCCACACUAACUUCAGCGAAGAAGGAAUGUACUGGCUCCAGUCAGUGAAAAGUCCAGGAGGAGCCAUGCCUUCAGGCAUGGCUGCAUCCAGGCACUCAACAGGUGCAUCCAGGCACUCAACAGGUGCAGCCAACACCUUGCCCCUCAGGCUGUCAGCUCCUGCCUUCUGCUGCAUCCACGUCACUGUAGGUGGAUUUCUCUGCACAUGGGUGAGAUGCCCCAGGAGCUCUGGCUCAUGGAGUCCUUGUAGCACCUGUCCCGGCCAUCCCCAGAUGAGAAAACAUCAUUUCCCAUGGCAGAAAUCUGGUGGAAACAGGAGGGAGGGGGUCGGUUCUCUUUGGUCGGAUCUGGGUCUUGUGCCCAUCUCUGGGAGAGAAAAGUCCCCAUUCACAGAAACUGAGCAGAUCCUGGAUUGGAUGGGGAAGGAGAGAUGCUGGCAGAUACACACACAUUCACUGCACUCCCUGCAAGGAUAGUGACAAUAGUAGAAGCUGCUCUUUCUUGAGAAGUUGUGAUGUGUGCCAGAAAAUUCUACCUUUUAAGGACAUAGAGAGGCUUUUAUCAUCCCCAUUUUACAGAUGACAAAACUGAGGCUCAGGGAGGUGAAGUGAUUUGCCUAUGGAUGCAUAGCUAAGGUCUGACCCCACAACUCACACUCACAAGUUAGCAAGAAGUGUUUCACCAGGGUAGUCUGGGGGCAGAAGGAGCCUGCCUGGUGAGGGAAGGGAGGUGGAGAGGUGGGGAGUGGGGAGGCCAAGAGGAGGGGACACCAGGACCUGGCCUCUGGCUUGCACAAUGGGGAGGGAACCCUGGAGAAGAGGAGGUUUAUGGGGGAGGCUGCUGAGUUUUUUGGGCACAUAUGCUAAGUUGGAGGUGCCCAUGGUCCUCAGGAGAUGUUCGGGAUUUGGGGGUCAGAGGCGUGAGCCUCGGCAUUGUGGGAAUCAUGGCUGUUUGCUUUGGGAAUUUCACAGUGGGUGGGGGGAAGGCGGCUGCUGACAGGAAGCACUUCCCAUUUGGUGGAGAAGGCAGCCUGAAUCUGCAUGGCAAGAGGCUGCGGCCUGGGCCUGUGACAGUGUCUACAACUGUGGCCACAGGUUCAAGGCCCUUGUAGUUGGGAGACACAGGGCCUGAAGUUCUCUGGCAGUUGUUUUAGGGCAAACACCUUGAGAAUGGCAUUUCCAAGGCCCUUGGGCUGUGCCAGGGCACCAACGCCAGUCGAGGACCACACCUUUCUGAGGGGUGCUUGGAAUCUCACAGACAGGGGUUCAAAUUCCGACUCUGCUUCCUAGAGGCUCUGUGGCCUUGGGCAUGUCUGGAACCUCUCUGGGCCACAGUUUGCUUAUCUGUGAAAGAGUCAUGGUAGCCUCUCCUCAUGGGUUUAUGAGGAGCUUGGGAGAUGGAGGGUGGGGCAGCACACAGCGCUUGAGCUGCAGCUCUUAGUUAACUGCUUUUCCUUUGCAGAUGUCCGAUGGAUCUGAUGGAGAGGUGGCAGGCGAAAUGCACCUGGCCUCAGGGUCAGGGGCUGUGAAUACAGUAGCAGUUGUAGCUAUGUGGUCAGAGUGGACUAGGACGGUCCUUCCACCAAGAAGGUUGGGCCUUCCUGCUCCUCGUUGUCCAGCUGCAGAAACUGAUCUCAUCCCUCAGGGCUUGGCACAACUGCCCCUUCCUCCUCACAUUCCCAAAUAUACCUACCCCUCCCCAACUCAAUCCUCCUCACCAGACUGUGGUUCCCAGAUGACAGGGCAGAGUUGGACUCACCUGUGUCUGCCAGGCCAGCUCACCAUGGGGGCAGGUCCCAAGAGGCCUCUGGAUUUGGACCAACUUCCAGUGUGACCUUGAACAAGCCCUUAGCCUCCCUCAGCCUCCGUUGCAUGAGGGGUUGUGCUGGCACAUCUCAGAGCAGGUGGUGCUACCUGGUGAGUUGAGGGCUCUGUCCAUCAUCUUUGUCACUGUAAUGCUGGGUAACAAAUGAACACGAAACAAUGAGUGCUCG